Molecule: ribosomal RNA, 520 nt
Filed under: uncultured Actinomycetes bacterium
Lineage: Bacteria; Bacillati; Actinomycetota; Actinomycetes
Description: bacterial SSU rRNA
Rfam family: Bacterial small subunit ribosomal RNA
Source: RNAcentral
CUUGCGCAAUGGGCGAAAGCCUGACGCAGCAACGCGCGUGCGGGAUGAAGGCCUUCGGGUUGUAAACCGCUUUCAGUGGGGACGAAUUCAGACGGUACCCACAGAAGAAGCCCCCGGCCAACUACGUGCCAGCAGCCGCGGUAACACGUAGGGGGCGAGCGUUGUCCGGAAUCAUUGGGCGUAAAGAGCUCGUAGGCGGCUCAGUAAGUCGGGUGUGAAACCCCCAGGCUCAACCUGGGGACGCCACCCGAUACUGCUGUGGCUAGAGUCCAGUAGGGGAGUGUGGAAUUCCCGGUGUAGCGGUGAAAUGCGCAGAUAUCGGGAGGAACACCAGCGGCGAAGGCGGCACUCUGGGCUGGAACUGACGCUGAGGAGCGAAAGCGUGGGUAGCAAACAGGAUUAGAUACCCUGGUAGUCCACGCCGUAAACGUUGGGCACUAGGUGUGGGGACCCUCCAACGGUCUCCGUGCCGUAGCUAACGCAUUAAGUGCCCCGCCUGGGGAGUACGGCCGCAAGGCUA